RNAcentral lists this ribosomal RNA (334 nucleotides) under uncultured eukaryote. RNAcentral's name for it is "partial 18S ribosomal RNA". It matches the Rfam family "Eukaryotic small subunit ribosomal RNA", at positions 1470 to 1796 of the family's 1831-position model. The record is from RNAcentral.
CCCUUAGAUGUCCGGGGCCGCACGCGCGCAACACUGAAGGAAUCAGCGUGGCUUUCUCCCUGACCCGAAAGGGUUGGGAAACCCGUUGAAUCUCCUUCGUGAUAGGGAUUGGGGCUUGAAAUUGUUCCCCAUGAACGAGGAAUUCCCAGUAAGCGCGAGUCAUAAGCUCGCGUUGAUUACGUCCCUGCCCUUUGUACACACCGCCCGUCGCUACUACCGAUUGAACGGUUUAGUGAGGGCCUCGGAUUGGUCUCGGCCCGCUCUUUACCGGGCGGCGCCGUUGGUCGAGAAGACGCUCGAACUUGAUCGUUUAGAGGAAGUAAAAGUCGUAACA